RNAcentral lists this ribosomal RNA (503 nucleotides) under uncultured bacterium. RNAcentral's name for it is "partial 16S ribosomal RNA". It matches the Rfam family "Bacterial small subunit ribosomal RNA", at positions 30 to 523 of the family's 1533-position model. The record is from RNAcentral.
AUUGAACGCUGGCGGCAGGCUUAACACAUGCAAGUCGAGCGGGGUGAUGGUGCUUGCGCUAUCACUUAGCGGCGGACGGGUGAGUAAUGCUUAGGAAUCUGCCUAUUAGUGGGGGACAACACCUCGAAAGGGAUGCUAAUACCGCAUACGUCCUACGGGAGAAAGCAGGGGAUCACUUGUGACCUUGCGCUAAUAGAUGAACCUAAGUCGGAUUAGCUAGUUGGUGGGGUAAAGGCCUACCAAGGCGACGAUCUGUAGCGGGUCUGAGAGGAUGAUCCGCCACACUGGGACUGAGACACGGCCCAGACUCCUACGGGAGGCAGCAGUGGGGAAUAUUGGACAAUGGGGGGAACCCUGAUCCAGCCAUGCCGCGUGUGUGAAGAAGGCCUUAUGGUUGUAAGGCACUUUAAGCGAGGAGGAAGCUCUUUUGGUUAAUACCCAAGAUGAGUGGACGUUACUCGCAGAAUAAGCACCGGCUAACUCUGUGCCAGCCGCCGCGGUAA